UCGGCCUCCCAGAGUGCUGGGAUUACAGGCGUGAGCCACCAUGCCCAGCUGGGUAGGGGCUUUUCCCUAUCACCAGGGGGAUCAGCUGUAAGCUUCACAGGAAUCCAAUCAGCAAGGCCCUUGGGUGGGGUGGGGGGGUUCCCUAUCAUUAGUAGGAUAAGCUUCACAUGCAUUUAAUCAGCAAUGAGUUUAGCCAUGGGGUGGGGGGUUUCCCUAACAUUCCCCCCUGUUGAUGCCCUUAUCAGUUUACACAGAGGCAUCAACCUCUCUAUGGAUCUAAUAACUGCAUUGGGCAAGCAGGGUCCCAUGGUUACCAUCAGCGGGCUUGAGGCAAUAGAGCCCCAAGCCUAUUCUAACUCCUGUUUUCUCUUGUGGAUUCUUUCCUUUAGCCCUUUAACUUUAAUAGUUACAAUUCCUGAUUGGUUUACAUAGUAGCAGCAUUCUUUCCCCCAGGAGCACACAAGUCUCCCCCUUUUCAAGUGCUUAUUCUGCAGGGUUUGCCAGCGAGUCUCUGACUCUGGAGAGAUAGCAGGGAUUCCUACCCCAGCUGCCACCCCUCCCCCUAUACUUGAGGGGCAGUUGGUUGUGUCUGUUGGAGCGGGGCCCAGACAGCCCCAACCAAGAACAACAGAGGCACCCCAUGCAGACCCAGAAAGGGUUACCAAGAAGUAAGUUAGUGUUGUGGUGGUCUCUUGGGGCGGAGGCCCAAGAAGACUGUCAGUCCUAUAGGAGUCCAAGCCAGUGGUCCCUUUCAGUCCUCAGCUUCCAGCCAGAUUGAAGGGCAAUCCGUCCUGUCGACUUUGUUGCACCGUCCAAUGGCUGGUCGCGUCAUCUGUCUCGGCUUCUUUCACACCAAACGUGCAUCUUACCCCCAGUAAGGCGAUGCUUAACAUACCUACCCAGAGUAGUUGUGUCUCUUGACAGAGUUUGGCCAACGUAACCUUGAGGGUUCGGUUCAUGCGCUCCACUUUCCCUGAGCUCUGCGGCCUGUCCACAGAAUACCUAAUGCCUUGGAGACGAGAGCUGCUGCCGUCCGUGUCGAGCUCCAGGUCGGGCGCCGGCAACGGACUAUCUUUCAAGUCUGGCCGGCUUGCACAGACCUCCUCCACGGCCUCGGCACAGUCAUGGUCCGGGGGCCCUGGCCCGGUAGGAAGGAAGGUGGCAGGGUUUAAGGUCCGCAGUCUCGAUGGUGACUUGUGGUUUUUCACACAGCAGUCCCUGGCACUGUGCCAGCUGACUGCUAGAAAGCCAUCGGUGCCCUGAUGUGUUCACCAAAGCCACUGCUGUGUGCGGGACCUGCACACAGAUAUUCUGCCCAAGCGUAAGCUUGUCCACCUCCUUGAUUAGCAAGAUGGUUGCUGCCAGUGCUCGCAGGUAAGGCGGCUGUCCCGAUGCUACCGAGUCCAGUUGUUUGGACAGAUAGGCCACUGGCCUCUGCCAGGGGCCCACAGUCUGCGUCAGUACCCCCACAGCUACCUGCUUCUUCCCACCUCUGAGAGCUACCUGUUCAGUUGUAUCAAGCCGGGCCCGGAGCUGCACCGUCUGUUCCAGCGUCCUCUUCAUCCAUUCCAGGUGUGCAGUGUGUCCUGCUCCUUCAGCUCCUCAGCCAUCCUGGCGGCAUCGGUGAUGGCCUUUUUGGCCUUCUCCUCUGCCUCCCGCCUCACCUGGACAGCCUUCUCCACCUCCCCACUCAGCUGGGCCAAACCCACCUUGAGCUGCGUCUUCUGGUUCAGGAGGCCUGUGUUCUGCGAAUGCAGGAGGCUGAGGCACUCGGUGGCCUCCAUGGCCUCCAGUAGCUCCUGCUCCGCCAGCCGUUGACUGCGCUCACCCUGCUCCCGCACAGCCCGCAGCUCCUCCAGCUCAGAAACCAGCAGCGCAGCCGGCGCUCCAGGGCCUGCGCCUGCUCUCGGAGCUCAGCUGCCAGCCGCUGCUCCUCUUCCCGCCCUGCCUGCUCCUCCUUCAGCUGGGCCUGCAGCAGCCGUGUGGCCACCUGGGCCUCUGUGGCCUGCUGGGUAGCGUGGCCCAGCUGCAGCUCCAGGUCGCUGAGGUCACCCUCCAUCUUCUCCUUGAGCCUCAGUGCUUCAUUGCGGGCCCGGGUCUCAGCAUCCAGGGAGGCCUGCAGGGACUCCACUGCCCACUGGUGGUUGCCUCAGGCUAGCGCACUCCUUGUCUUUCUCUGCCAGCUUCUUUUUGGCCUCCUGCAGCUCCUCAGUGUCCUCUUAUGGCGUCUGCCUCAUACUUGCUCAGCAAGGCCCACCCCAAGAGAGGUACUGGACAGUCUGGCAUGUAGAGGACCUCGUGCCUUAUCUGAUGGCCCCCAUUUGGCAUACCCGGGACUGGCAGAAGGGUCUGGCUACCUGAGUCCCAGUAGCUCCGACUGUAGUUAUUUCCCGUUUUGUAAGCCACGGGGGUUGUCAAAAUGAAUGAUCUGCUCCAGUGUCCACCAUGAAUGUCAUUUGUUGGCCCCCUACUUUCGUCUUGACCGUAGGUUCCCUAGGGCCAAGAUUGAAGGAACCCGGUUGGCGCAAUGGUCGGAGUCCAUGCCAGCGAGGCCCACUAGCUCUUGGGCUUACGGUUUCUGUUGGAUAGUCCCAAACGGGGUCCUUCCUUGCGACAGGUGACUUCCCUUGUGGGGGCAUUCAUUCUUCCAGUGGCUAAACCCCUUGAAAUUGGUGCAUUGGUCUCUUGCCAGGGGUGCCCAUCCUCUGGUUCCCCCCUUUCGUGGGGGUCCAGGCCGCUUGGACAGGUGGGGUCUACCGAGGGCAGCAGCCAGGAGGGCGGCCUUUUUCUUCCUCCUCUGAUUUUUCUCCCUCUGAGCAGUCCGGUCUCGGUUGACAUACACCUUCUGGGCCACCUCCAUUAACUGUGUGAUACUCAUGCCUGUAAAUCCUUCGAGUUUCUGCAGCUUCCUCCGGAUGUCGGAGGCCGAUUGCCCGACGAACGCUGCAUUCACUAUUCUCUGGUUUUCGGCUGCCUCUGGGUCAAGAGGGUGUCUGCCAGUGCCCGUUCCUGCAGCCACUUCCGAGUUCCAGUCACUGAAGAGGGUCAGCAGGAGUUGCCGGCAAUCUUCCACGUGGGGCAGUGAGUCUGGAAGACAGACUCCAGGAGGUCGAUGAUGGCCUGCGGUUUCUCGAGUAGGACAGCGUAUGGUGUUUCCAAUUCAGUAGGUCGGUGGUGGAGAACGGCUGAUAAUACAGGGCAGGUUGCCCCGGUUGGAUGGUUCUGUCAUCCCAAACCUGCAGCAGACUUCGCAUUUCAUGCAGAGGCAUCUGGGAGGCCAGGGUAAGGGGUUGGACAGACCACAACCAGCAGACGAGUGGUGGAUAUGCCAGCGGUGGAGCGGGUGUAGUCGGGGUUGCCCGGGAAGGUGGCGUGACUUGUGGGUUGUGAGCCGCUAGAACCCUACUCUGUCCCUUGUCAGCGCAGAACCGAACCUAAGGGGGCAUGGUUUGGGUGAUCUCCAGCAUGAAUCUAUGUAUGGGAAUUGCUCUGGGUGACCCGGAAUCCCAGUCACCACUCUCCAUACUGAACAUAUGAAAUUUAUCAGCAUGCACCUUAGAGCUGUUGGCUUAGAUUCGGACCCUCCCAUUUUUAACUGGUUCAACGAGCGCUCCCGUUCCCUACACCACCAACAACACUUCUUUUCUGAACCUUGUCCCUGCCCAGACUCUGAUCCCUGCUCUGACUUCUCCCCCUUUCUCUUUUGUUGCAAGACAGACAAGACAGACAAGGGGUGGGGGCUUCUUUCAGGUGUCUGCCUGGCUGCGUCCCUCCAGGGAACUUAGGUGCAUCUUGGCUAAGGUGUCCCCGUAUAGAGCCCAGGCCGGUCACUCUCAGUGACGGGGAGUGAAUCGCCAUUAUGCCACCACAGGUUAGGACCAACUCAAACCCCGUAGCUGAAGCUGUGGGGUCACAGACACAAUGACCACAAGCAGUCACUGAGUUCCUUCCACUCACAUAUUCACACAGAGGUUACACAUUCUCUGCCCUGGGGGGUCCCUACCCUUAGGAGGUGUUCAGGCUCCUCUUCUGUGUCGCUGAUGGGCCUGUCCCGGGUGGGUCCUGGGACCUUACCUUGUCCCAUGUCCUGGCCUCUGACUGGUCCUUCCCUGCGGAGUGUCCAGGUGAGUUCGAGGCUCUGCGGCAGGCGGGAGCUCCCAAGGAGAAUUGUAGAGGUCCCGCCGUCCGCCGUGCUAGUCCCAGAUCCGGUGGCUUCAAGGGGCCAACGCAGUUGGCUUUCCCACUCAGGGAACCAAAAUGUUGUGGCAAGUGACCGGCGAUUGACCAGGGAAAGAAGUGAGUGGCACACAGAGGGUAGGAGAAUCAGCUUGUAUUUCGCUGGCGGGCUCAGAGGGGCAUGCCACCAAAUUCUGAGCAACAUUUCCUUAUUUUUUACCAGUCUUAUACAUUUACACAACCAAUCAACUAUUAUCUAAUUAGUAGGAUCAGCCGUAAGCUUUCACAUGUAGUGGAUUUUGCCUUGGGGCACUCGGGCAGGGGCUUUUCCCUAUCAUCAGUAGGAUCAACCAGAAGCUUCACAGGAAUCCAAUCAGCAGUGAGUUCAGCCAGGGGGUGGGGGUUUUUCCCUAACAAAAUAACCUUUAUUAUUAAGUUCUCUGUCUUAUAUGGGCAUGGUUGAUGGUGUCCUAAAACAAUUAGAAUAGUAAUAUCAAAGAUCACUGGUCAUAGAUCACCAGAUAUAAGUAUAAUGAAUAAGUUUGAAAUAUUGUGAGAAUUACCAAAACACAAUACAGAGACAGAAAAUGAGCACAUGCUAUUGGAAAAAUGGUGCUGAUAGACUUGUUCAAUGCAGGGUUGUCACAAACCUUCAAGUUAUUAAAAAAAAAAAAAACCACAAUAUUCAUGAAGCACAAUAAAGUGAAGCACAAUAAAAUGAAGCAUGCCUGUAUAAUGGUUGUGGCUAUGUAAAAAUUGCUUUUGAAUGUGGGAGAUAUGUAAUAAUGAAGAUAGUUGUUUUCAUAGUGUAUGAUUAUGAGUUUAUUUUCUUAAUAAAACAAAUGGAUUAGUUUCUAUGUUUUAUAUGAAAUAGUAAUGUCUGAAUUGUAGUUUUGGAAAAGAUAACUAUUUAAAUGCUUUGCAUGCUUUAGAUAAUUAUAUGAUGAAGAGCACUACUUUAUUUAAAUAAAAUUAUAGUUUUAGUCAAUAUUUUUAAAUCAUUUAUGAUUUCUAAAAUGUAAUUCUCCUUAAUGCAGGUACAAUAGCUUUGCCAUAGUAUUCAGGUAGUUAUAUUAUCAUCAGUCCUAGUCAAAUUAGUCAAGUUCAUUGAUUAUAUUCAUUUUAAAUUGAACAUGAUGUUAUACAUUCUAUUAUAGCGAUUGCCUUCUUCAGUUUUAUAAGUUCAAGUAUUAUAUAUAUAAAUUUUGUGAUUUGUAAGGAAACACAAACCAUAUAAAACACAAAUUUUAAAACUUCUUUUAAAAAAUCCUGUGGAAUAGUUAUAUAUUAGCUCCAUGUUAAAAGUCCUUUUCUCCCAAACUUAGACAACACUCUUGAAUUAUUCAGACAAGCAAAGAUAAGUAAGGAGUCUAAAGAAUGUGGCUUAUUUCAUAACUUUAAAACUUGGACAGUGAUUUGGGAGUGCAGCUUAGUACAAAUCCUUUUCUAAAUAAAAUUCUGCUCCAUUUGCAGCUCUGAACAUGCAGACUGAAGGGCGGCUCCCUUGGCCAGCCUGGCCUCUGUGCACACCUUGGCUGGUCCCGACCUCACCCACGCUGCACGCUGCAGCCAUAUAAAUCAGAUUUGUGACAUGCUGUAAAGUGCAAGUCACAGCUGCUGUAGUCUGCAGUGUUCAAAAACUUUUGAAACACUGCAUGUCCAACUAAACUUAUUUUUUGUGUGAAUUUAAGUUUUUAUUGAGGGUGCUGUUUUUCAACCCUAAUUUUUGACCAAGAAUGAAACUAUUUAAAAAUUAAGAUGCCAACAGAUCACGAAGAGCCCUGUGGUCCUGGUCACAGGUCCUUUUGCCUGAAUGGGGGGAUUUGUUAUGUGAUACCUACUGUUCCCAGCCCAUUUUGUAGGAAGUGAACUGAUGCUGGCUUCUCUUUGUCUUAUUCCAAGUUGAGGCAUGAGAUUUUCCCUGCAUUAGAAGGUUGUUGAGACCUGAAGCCUGGGAAGGUGCAUCGAAAAUUAUACAGGAGCUCGUUGUGAAGAGGUUUUUCUCCCAAGCUCCAGCAUCCAAACUAAAAGCAACCUGUUUGCAGCUUUCGUGGUGAUGGUUGUCCUUCUAAUAACACUUAUCAUUGGAGCCCUCUACUUCCUUUGCAGGAAGGGCCACCUUCAGAGAGCCAGUUCCGUCCAGUAUGAUAUCAACCUGGUAGAGACAAGCCAUACCAGUGCCUACCACAGUCAUGGAGAACACUGAAGAAAUGUCAAAGUGAAUGGAAUCACUGCUUUUAUUUUACAAAGGCAGAAAAUGAAACAACAUAAGGUGAAAGAAAUUAAAAAUUUAACCCUUCAUUUCCUAAAUAAAACACUUGUGUAAGUUGUCAUAUCACAAAACA
This is a non-coding RNA of Microcebus murinus (gray mouse lemur), 6521 nucleotides long. The record is from RefSeq and is a predicted model, not a curated record. NCBI's taxonomy places the organism in Eukaryota, Metazoa, Chordata, Mammalia, Primates, Cheirogaleidae.